RNAcentral lists this ribosomal RNA (923 nucleotides) under Streptomyces sp. NIOT-BARREN 21. RNAcentral's name for it is "bacterial SSU rRNA". It matches the Rfam family "Bacterial small subunit ribosomal RNA", at positions 43 to 986 of the family's 1533-position model. The record is from RNAcentral. Lineage: Bacteria; Bacillati; Actinomycetota; Actinomycetes; Kitasatosporales; Streptomycetaceae.
CGGGGGCUACACAUGCAGUCGAACGAUGAACCACUUCGGUGGGGAUUAGUGGCGAACGGGUGAGUAACACGUGGGCAAUCUGCCCUGCACUCUGGGACAAGCCCUGGAAACGGGGUCUAAUACCGGAUACUGAUCCUCGCAGGCAUCUGCGAGGUUCGAAAGCUCCGGCGGUGCAGGAUGAGCCCGCGGCCUAUCAGCUAGUUGGUGAGGUAACGGCUCACCAAGGCGACGACGGGUAGCCGGCCUGAGAGGGCGACCGGCCACACUGGGACUGAGACACGGCCCAACUCCUACGGGAGGCAGCAGUGGGGAAUAUUGCACAAUGGGCGAAAGCCUGAUGCAGCGACGCCGCGUGAGGGAUGACGGCCUUCGGGUUGUAAACCUCUUUCAGCAGGGAAAAGCGAAAGUGACGGUACCUGCAAAAAGCGCCGGCUAACUACGUGCCAGCAGCCGCGGUAAUACGUAGGGCGCAAGCGUUGUCCGGAAUUAUUGGGCGUAAAGAGCUCGUAGGCGGCUUGUCACGUCGGUUGUGAAAGCCCGGGGCUUAACCCCGGGUCUGCAGUCGAUACGGGCAGGCUAGAGUUCGGUAGGGGAGAUCGGAAUUCCUGGUGUAGCGGUGAAAUGCGAUAUCAGGAGGAACACCGGUGGCGAAGGCGGAUCUCUGGGCCGAUACUGACGCUGAGGAGCGAAAGCGUGGGGAGCGAACAGGAUUAGAUACCCUGGUAGUCCACGCCGUAAACGGUGGGCACUAGGUGUGGGCAACAUUCCACGUUGUCCGUGCCGCAGCUAACGCAUUAAGUGCCCCGCCUGGGGAGUACGGCCGCAAGGCUAAAACUCAAAGGAAUUGACGGGGGCCCGCACAAGCGGCGGAGCAUGUGCUUUAUUCGACGCACGCGAAGAAUUCUUACCAAAGGGCCUUGACC